This 1391-nucleotide long non-coding RNA is filed under the name Homo sapiens (human). RNAcentral describes it as "non-protein coding LRRC75A-AS1:95". The stretch from base 404 to 477 matches the Rfam family "Small nucleolar RNA SNORD49". The record is from RNAcentral. Lineage: Eukaryota; Metazoa; Chordata; Mammalia; Primates; Hominidae.
GGAUUGGGAUAUUCCGACUCCUUAAGGGCCUGGCGCACAUAAGGUGUGACCUUUUCAUUCCCGUUGUUAUGGAGGUAGGCUCUCUAGGAAUCUGGGAGUAGUAGCUGGGGGGCAAGAGCAAAUAAAGAGCUCGAGCUUCUGUGGUCUCUGGGGAGAUGUUCCCGGGAAGCCUGUCUAGAGGGCGGAGGGCAGCUGUUGAGAUGGCGUGGCUCCCCGGCUCCUGCGCCCGCGUGGCUUUCGCGGCGGGCGCUGCGGCCCGGUAUUGGACAGCCUGGCAGGGCAGCGCGGGGCCGAAUCCGGCUGCCGUGGCUGAGGCUCAUGGAUCACUCUUUUGUGGUAGGGCCACAUCUGCCAGAGCCUGGAGUCUGCGAAGGCCGGGACCCGGUUCCCCGGCCCACAGUGGGGGUGUGCAAACCCGAGAGAACUGGGAAGUGCCGUCAGAAGCGAUAACUGACGACGUCUAAUGUCUAUCUGACCGCAGUCGCUGAAACCUCUACAACUUAGUUGACCGUAACUGCCAGAGCCCUGCCCUGAAUUCCUGUCCUUACUCCCUCUUUAAGAUUGCGUACCCACUGCAGAGUGCUGAAGACGGGGUAGCCACGAGGUUGCAAAUUCGUGAAGAAUCAGCAUCAUGUUUGGCAGCUGAGUAUUGGAGCCAGGAGCCUGCCAUGAGGUUUUGAGAACAGAGUGCUGUUUUAGAGCUGGCAGCAGCAUCUCAGCCCAAGAGAAGGUUAUAUUCCCAGAGGAUGUCAGUCCCAAGGACCAGUAGCUGCCAUCAGUUUGGAUUCUGAAAACUAACUGGCAUCAACACUGGGUGUAGAAACAUGCUUGCCUUAUGUAUCAGAGGACAUGCUCAGCAGAUCCAAGAGAUAUAUUUGGCAACUUUUUCUAGAAAAGGCACAUUGGGUAUCAUUCAUUACAUUCUUGAGUUUUUUUGGGUUUUUUUUUUUUUUUUUGAGACAGUCUUGCUGUAUUGCCCAGGCUGGAGUGUGGUGGCACAAUCACAGCUCAUUGCAUCCUCAAUCACCCAGGCCUAAGCAAUCCUCCCACCUUGUAGCUGGGACUACAGCUCACAGCACACCUGGCUAAAAUUUUUUUUUUGUUGAGACGGAUUCUCUAUGUUGCCCAGGCUGGUCUCAGGCUCCUGGGCUCAGAUGGUCCUCCUGCCUCAGCUUCCAAAGGCACAGGCCAAGUUGUAGCUUUGUCCCUUGCCAUCAUGCCCAACAAGAGGUUCUAUACCUUUUAAUGAAUUGACUUUCAUAAAUUGGUUAUGUUGGUGGGCAAAGUUCUUUAAGCUGGAAAUUGUAAAUUCCUCCUGAAAUGUUUUUUCAUGCAGUUACCAUGAACUAAUACUACAAUAAAGGAUGGUCUUGGGUGUCAAUUCUUGAAAA